Molecule: ribosomal RNA, 253 nt
Filed under: uncultured bacterium
Lineage: Bacteria
Description: partial 16S ribosomal RNA
Rfam family: Bacterial small subunit ribosomal RNA
Source: RNAcentral
UACGUCGGGUGCAAGCGUUGUCCGGCAUUAUUGGGCGUAAAGAGCUCGUAGGCGGCUUGUCGCGUCGGCUGUGAAAACCCGGGGCUCAACCCCGGGCCUGCAGUCGAUACGGGCAGGCUAGAGUCCGGUAGGGGAGACUGGAAUUCCUGGUGUAGCGGUGAAAUGCGCAGAUAUCAGGAGGAACACCGGUGGCGAAGGCGGGUCUCUGGGCCGGAACUGACGCUAAGGAGCGAAAGCGUGGGGAGCGAACAGG